CCAUUCCAUGCCUAGUACGGCGAGUGAGCGGCAACAGCUCAAAUUUGAAAGCUGGCUCCGGCCCGCAUUGUAAUUUGCAGAGGAUGCUUUUGGCGAGGUGCCUUCCGAGUUCCCUGGAACGGGACGCCAUAGAGGGUGAGAGCCCCGUAUGGAUGGACACCAAACCUGUGUAAAGCUCCUUCAACGAGUCGAGUAGUUUGGGAAUGCUGCUCUAAAUGGGAGGUAAAUCUCUUCUAAAGCUAAAUACCGGCCAGAGACCGAUAGCGCACAAGUAGAGUGAUCGAAAGAUGAAAAGCACCUUGAAAAGGGGGUUAAACAGUACGUGAAAUUGUUGAAAGGGAAGCGCUUGUGACCAGACUUGCGCCGGGCAGCUCAUCAGGGGUUCUCCCCUGUGCACUCUGCCCGGCUCAGGCCAGCAUCGGUUCUCGUGGGAGGAUAAGAACAGUGGGAACGUGGCCCCCUCUCGGGGGGGUGUUAUAGCCCAUUGUACGAUACUCUCGUGGGGACCGAGGUUCGCGCUCCGCAAGGAUGCUGGCGUAAUGGUCAUCAGCGACCCGUCUUG
RNAcentral lists this ribosomal RNA (562 nucleotides) under Cytospora hoffmannii. Its description in RNAcentral is "eukaryotic LSU rRNA". It matches the Rfam family "Eukaryotic large subunit ribosomal RNA", at positions 69 to 656 of the family's 3401-position model. The record is from RNAcentral. Lineage: Eukaryota; Fungi; Ascomycota; Sordariomycetes; Diaporthales; Cytosporaceae.